Molecule: long non-coding RNA, 1105 nt
Filed under: Vitis vinifera (wine grape)
Lineage: Eukaryota; Viridiplantae; Streptophyta; Magnoliopsida; Vitales; Vitaceae
Description: long non-coding RNA (VVIN_LNC005007)
Source: RNAcentral
GUUAGGAAGUGUCCCAAAUUCCUAAUUAGUAUAGAUUCCUUUUUUUGUAAAGAAUAUUAUAUAGAAUAUUUCUAGGUUGAUAUAUUAUUGUAAUAUUAGACUUCCUUAUAGAAUAAGGAAGGUUGUUGGAAAUAUCUCUAUAAAUAUUCUAGGUCAUGAGGGAAAAAAGUUAUGAGAUGGAGAUGGGCCUAUAGAGACUAUACGAGGUGGAUAGAGAUGUGAGGAAGAACGGGAGGUACCUGGUGGAGCGAGAGGGCUCGUAGUAAGGUAUGGAUACAAGGAGUGGGGAAACAUGGGAUGUUUCGGGAACCCAAUAGUUGUAUCUGGUUCUAUCCUCUGUAAUAUUCUUUAUUGUAUAGUGGAAUUAUUCUCUCUCAUCCGUGGACGUAGGCAUGGUUGGCCGAACCACGUUAAAACCUCGUGUACCGUAUGUGUGAUUGUUUUAUCUUUGUGUUCUUGAACUAACAUUGUUGACAUCAAAGCUUUCGUUGGCACAACAACUGGUAUCAGAGCUUGGGUUGAAGAUUUCUGGAAGAGUAAAAGAUCACAAAGCACACAAGAUGAAAACAAAAGGAAUUUUCACUGAAGGUGGAGUCGAUUGCUCUUUCGUGGUGAUAUGAUACAAAAAGGUUUGUGUCAUGGAGAGAUUGAAGAUUAACUUCAUGUAAUUUGGUCCAAGGUGGAGAUUGUUAGGAAGUGUCCCAAAUUCCUAAUUAGUAUAGAUUCCUUUUUUUGUAAAGAAUAUUAUAUAGAAUAUUUUUAGGUUGAUAUAUUAUUGUAAUAUUAGACUUCCUUAUAGAAUAAGGAAGGUUGUUGGAAAUAUCUCUAUAAAUAUUCUAGGUCAUGAGGGGAAAAAGUCAUGAGAUGGAGAUGGACCUAUAGAGACUAUACGAGGUGGAUAGAGAUGUGAGGAAGAACGGGAGGUACCUGGUGGAGCGAGAUGACUCGUAGUAAGGUAUGGAUACAAGGAGUGGGGAAACAUGGGAUGUUUCGGGAACCCAAUAGUUGUAUCUGGUUCUAUCCUCUGUAAUAUUCUUUAUUGUAUAGUGGAAUUAUUCUCUCUCAUCCGUGGACGUAGGCAUGGUUGGCCGAACCACGUUAAAAC